AAAAAAAAAAAAAGAAAGAAAGAAUUUUUGUACAUUUCAAUAAAUCAAUCUCCGAAUUCAGAAACUUGUAGUUGAAAGAUUAUAAAUUGGUUCUUUAAAUUGUAAUUUGUCAAAAUUUAUAAAAUUUUGUAUCCAAACCAUUUACCAUUUUCCUGCUUUUCAUUGAAGUUCUUGAGGAUUUUCAAUUGGGAGGUGGGAGAAAUAGCAUCUGAACCUUAAAUUUUAUACAAUAUGACGGCUUAACUGUGAUUUAUGAUAUUGAAAUUAGAAAUUAGUAGAAAGGAAACCUGUUUAUAUGUAUUAAAUUUGAAUCCCUUUGAGCUUGUAUGAGAGUUUUUACAGCCAUUGAAUAAGCAUCAUAUCUGUCCGUGGUCGACUAGUUUACCUCGUCAUGUUCCUGCUGUUAUUCCUUCCUGUUGAAGAGCAUCAUCCCUUGCUUUUUGUUCCCGAGUAUACAUGUGGAUUCAUGGAGUUGUCCACUAAGAGCUCAUGAUUCUUGAAUCGGGAUGGACUCUUUCCCCUUUUGCUAACUUUGCAUAAUGGCCCCGGAGAAGGCUUGCUUUGGAAUGGUCAGAAUUUCCUUAAUACUAUAGAUUCUGAGUGACUUUAUUUAAUCUCCAUUAUAGAUAUGUAUCUAUACAUAGAGCUGAAUAAGUUGUGUUAAGAGUUCUCAACAUGAUCUCUUGAGAUGAGUUGAUUCCACUAAUGAGAACUAGGAAUUGCAUUUUAAAGCAUGUAAAGGAUACUCUGCUUCAGUUUAAAAUAUAUGCUGAAUGUUAAAGUUUUG
RNAcentral lists this unclassified non-coding RNA (787 nucleotides) under Hevea brasiliensis (rubber tree). The record is from RNAcentral. Lineage: Eukaryota; Viridiplantae; Streptophyta; Magnoliopsida; Malpighiales; Euphorbiaceae.